UCAAAGGAAUUGACGGGACCCGCGACAAGCGGUGGAUGAUGUGGUUAAUUCGAUGCAACGCGAAAACUUACCCACCUUUGACAUGUACGGAAUCCUUUAGAGAUAGAGGAGUGCUCGAAAGAGAGCCGUAACACAGGUGCUGCAUGGCUGUCGUCAGCUCGUGUCGUGAGAUGUUGGGUUAAGUCCCGCAACGAGCGCAACCCUUGUCAUUAGUUGCUACGAAAGGGGCACUCUAAUGAGACUGCCGGUGACAAACCGGAGGAAGGUGGGGAUGACGUCAAGUCCUCAUGGCCCUUAUAGGUGGGGCUACACACGUCAUACAAUGGCUGGUACAAAGGGUUGCCAACCCGCGAGGGGGAGCCAAUCCCAUAAAGCCAGUCGUAGUCCGGAUCGCAGUCUGCAACUCGACUGCGUGAAGUCGGAAUCGCUAGUAAUCGUGGAUCAGAAUGUCACGGUGAAUACGUUCCCGGGUCUU
Molecule: ribosomal RNA, 475 nt
Filed under: uncultured Hydrogenophaga sp.
Lineage: Bacteria; Pseudomonadati; Pseudomonadota; Betaproteobacteria; Burkholderiales; Comamonadaceae
Description: bacterial SSU rRNA
Rfam family: Bacterial small subunit ribosomal RNA
Source: RNAcentral